UCUGUCAUUUAGAAAACGUACAAGGAGAUAGAAAGAAGAGGAAAGGAAUUUGUAGCUCAUUUUUUAAUGAAGAUGAAAAUCAAUUUCACUUUUCAUUUUAGGGUUGAUGUAAGUAUCAUUCCCAGAAUCCCCCAGAUCGCUCAAAUGAAAGCGUAGAUCCUUAGAGUCACGACCAUAAGCAUCAAUAAGAUUCUCAAAGUUUAAAAGAUGUGCUCCGAUGUGAAUGGCUGAAAUUUAUGAAAACAGACAAAUAAAAGCUUAUACAGGAAGAACAACUUACUGGUGAAGAAACAAAUCACGUAGGCAAUGACUCGAUGAAAUGUGAUAUUUUUAUCGAGCAAUCGUUGUAAAUUGUGACCCAUUCCACAACACUAAAGUUGAAAUAUCACAAAAAAAUUAUGUCAUAAAAAUGUCUUCAAUUCUAUGGUUAGGUUAUCAUUGACAACUUUACUUCCUAUGGAUGCUCUGAACUUUGUAUAGUUACAGGAGUAAUACUUCAUAUGGAUGCUCUGAACAUUGUAUAGUUACUGGAGUAAUACUUCAUAUGGAUGCUCUGAACUUUGUAUAGUUACUGGAGUAAUACUUUAAAUGGAUGCUCUGAACGUUGUAUAGUUACUGGAGUAAUACUUCAAAUUUAUAUUCAACACAAUAGUCAAUCCUCAGAACUACACAUGUAGAGAAAUUUAUUUUCUUUAUAUAUUUUUCAUAAUGGUAUGAACUUUGAUAAAGUGACCAUGAAAGGUUGCUUAAGAGGGAAAGAAUAGCAUAAGAAUAUAUUUUAUAGUUUAGACAUGAGAUGCUGACUUUUAACCAAUAAAUUUAUGUUCUAUGAAAAAAGUGUAAGGGGGAGGGAUGUCUCUUUGACCCCACAGUUCCUGAAACGCUACAAAAAUAAAUAUACUGAAAUUCUUCA
Xenia sp. Carnegie-2017 is the source of this 913-nucleotide long non-coding RNA. RefSeq lists it as uncharacterized. Lineage: Eukaryota; Metazoa; Cnidaria; Anthozoa; Malacalcyonacea; Xeniidae. The record is from RefSeq and is a predicted model, not a curated record. The transcript has 3 exons.